Long non-coding RNA from Bombus huntii, 7397 nucleotides. RefSeq lists it as uncharacterized. The record is from RefSeq and is a predicted model, not a curated record. NCBI's taxonomy places the organism in Eukaryota, Metazoa, Arthropoda, Insecta, Hymenoptera, Apidae. The transcript is spliced from 2 exons.
GGUAUGUGUAAAAUUUCAGUAAUUGGACAACGGGAACUUGUGUAGUCUAUGAUAAAAAAAAAACAUUAUUUGAGAAGUAUUAAAGAAUAUUUUGAAAUAAAACCAAUAAAGGUAAAAUACUAUAGAUGUAUAAUAAUAAUAUUUAAGUUUUAUUUAGCAUCAAGUUUAGCAUAUAACACAGCAUCUGAGUAACGCUAUUAUUCCGUAAUCCUAUAUGAUUUAUAUUGUUGAUCAAUAUCUUAAUAUGUUUUUAUUUAUGUUUUUAUCAGUAUCUUUACUUAGAUUUUAUCAAUAUCUUCAUUUAUAAAAUUUCUGUAAAAAUCUUGAAUCUUUCCGUGGUACUGUUUGAUUAAUAUGAUGUGCAGUCACAAAAAUGUCAGAACUUUAAAUGAAAUGCGGCAUGGGUUCCCAUUGUCUAGACACUCUGGAAUUAAGGCACAUAUCAUUUUCCCACCAAGUAUCACAAUUUAGGAGGGGAAGGCAAAUAAAUAUUAGAAAUCGAAAAAGAAAGACCACUCUGCCCUAGUGGUCGGUUGCCUGGUGUAGAUGAACGGUUUGCGCCAGUGUCACGUCGGAGACACAAUAAAUCAUGAAACCGAUAGAUCACCGGAGAUCUUGUCCCGUAAAAUUGAUACUUGGAUUGUAAGAGAAGAGAAAGCUGAGUCGUAACCCAACUAUUAAUUUUCUUUUAUCGAACUUUAUUAUAAUUUUAGCACUUACAAUAACAGAAUAACACUGAACAGGAGAAAGGAGUCGGAGUUCUUGUACAAGAACAGCGACUAGAACAAAAACUCCCCGAGCUGGGUGAAGUCUCGGCUUAUAUACGUUUUGGUUUGAGGAUGUUGAGGGGCUCGAUGUAGGUUAUGAUGUAGAAAAGUGUCCGAAGGUCGGGAGUCGAUGCCUUAUCUGUGAUGUGGACUAAGGUGUGUCAUAGCUUCUGUGUAGGUGGUGAUGUGUCCAAAGGAGUCCGAAGUUCGGGGGUCGAUGUCUUAUCUGUGAUGUAGGUUGAGAUGUGAUUGAUGUUACAAUUUCCUCGCGUCACAGUUCGAACGUUUCACGAAUAAGGCGAAGAAAUUGAACUUUAUAUAUGAUAAUAGAGUUUAUUAUCCAAAUCCAACAGAGUGGCGGUUCAAAGUGUUACAGAAUGAUUGAAAGUAUUACAAGAGACUGAGUCAAAAUAUUUUAACAGACUGAUUCGAGCGCUUAUUGCUUAUUAUUUGGAGGAUUUUUAUACUGUGAUUUUAGUCCCUUUGGAUCUCAGAGGCGCCUAUUCCGUCACUAUUUGGUUAUUGUUUUGAUGGCUGUUGUAUGCAGGAUGUCUAAUCUGUCGUAUUACUAUUUCUAAGCAGUGGUCUUCUUGAGCGUGUGACACCAGCAAACGGAACAAUUUACUGCUGUGUUUACGUCCUCAAUUUUUUUUUGCAACUCACACGAAUGUUUUGCAUUAAUUUAUUGCCGCAUUUUGUGUCCAUUUUCAUGUCGUAUAUUUGCUCAGUUCCAGUUUAGUCAUGGAUGUGGUAACCCAUUAUCAAAAUCAUAAAAAAUGUAUUUGCCUUAUAUCCAUAUUAUAUUAUUUAAUACUGUAUCAAUUUACCAUAAAAAGGAUGUCAAUUUUUUCAAAGGAGAAAGCAUUUACUUACAUAUUUAUUGAUUUAAGAGAAAUUAUUUAAUUAUUUUCGUAUGGCCGUAAAAUCUUUUGAUGAAUUAAGUGCAAAACUUAAUGAAAGUUUGAUGUAGCAUCCAAUAAAAUCGAAACCGUUCCUAUGAAAUGAGUUAUAUGUAUAAAAUAAUGUACUGCUUCACAAGACAUGUUCAGCGUUCCGUUUGCGAUCCAGCAGUACGAAGUUUUAACACUAGGUUUACGGACGUUUCGUAUAUACCUAUCUCUACGAGCACCCGUCAAAUUGAUGGGUAAACGAAAAUACGCAUUUUUCUUUAAAAAAAUAGAUUUAUUCAAAUUAAGUCCGAAAGAAGCAAUAUUAGGCUUCACAUUUAAAUAAAUUAUUAAUAAAUAAAAAGUCUUUUUUUUAAAUUAUCACUAAAAAAAUAACAAUAACAUUAACACUAUGUUUACGGGACCCGCCAAUUUGACGGAAUUCGAACUUCGAAAUGAAAUAUCUCAAGAACCAUAGCAUUAAUUUUAACCAUUUUGCAUUGUAAAUUAAUCAUUUCAUCUGAAGAAUUUAUGCACAAAAUUAUCUUUUCCUAGGCUUUCUAAUUUUUGAAAAUUGUAUGUAGUAUAUCUAUCUCUAUGAACCCCGUCAAAUUGACGGGCUAACUGAUUUCAUAAACAAACUGUUUUUCAAAGACAGUGUGCAAAAGUUUCAGUUAUUGUAGACAUUUCCUGUUAUUGUCUCGCUUAUUGUAAGUAUUUACAAUAGGAUAAUUGAAUUUGGGCACAGUAUUUUCUUUUUUUUUGACCAAUCCCCCUUUUCUAGCAAUCACGAGUAAAUUCAGGAGAUAUAAUAAAAUAUUGAAUAAAAUUGUCAACAUGAAUGAAGAUUGUUCUGAAGAUAUCUCCGUAGAAGAUCAAUAUGAAUGAAGAUCGACCAAAGCAAAGUUGAGAGUGAAAGUUCUGAAUACACUGAAAGUGGAGAGACAGAAGGAUCUUCGGAUAGUGAAGAGGAAAACUUCUUGAAAGUGUGUCGUAACAAGAAAAGGAUGCGUAUUUUUUCUAGUUCUGACUCCGACGAUGAAAGGGCGAACAUUCCAAGCACGUCCCAAAAUGUAAUGGGUGAAACUGAAAUUGCAAUUGAUGGGACACUGUGGAUAAAACUGAAGGCAGGCUGAUCUAGGGGUAGAACGCCCGUUCGUAUGUUAUUCAAGGAUAUCUCAGGGCCUACUGGCUAUGCUAAGAGAAAUAUUAUGCCGGGUUGUAUAACUAGUGCUUUCGAAUUGAUAAUUGACAGACACAUAAUGGAACACAUAAAAGAUUGCACUGAAACCGAGGCGCAUCGAGUUUUGAAAAAAGACGGACAAUCACAGUUGCUAAGUUACGUAGUUUUCUAGGAAUUCUAUAUGCCCGGAGCGCAUAUGAAGCGAGAUCAUUGAAAGCCUCCGAAAGAUCACAAACAGAUAAAUUUGCGCUGAUAUCCGAAAUAUGAAACAGAUUUAUAAGUAAUAGCCAGGCUUGUUACAAGCCAUAUGAAAAUAUCUCAAUAGCCCGAUUUACGCAAUAUAUGCCGAAUAAGCCUCAUAAAUUUGGCAUUAAGUUUUGGUUUGGAGUUACCGUCCAAACAAAAUAUUUUGAAUGGUUUCCCUUAUAUGAAGAAAGAUGAAACUCGAUGCUCAAAGGAGAAAAGGACAAGAUGACUGUUUUCCUCAAAUUUAUAUAAAUCAGAAAACUGCACGCUUACUGUGUAUAAAAGUAAACCUAACGUAAAAGUCCUCCUUCUAAGCACCACACAUACAGGUAUGCAAGUGGAAGACAAUUAUAAACGUGUUCCAGAAAACAUUGCUUUUUAUAACAAAACAAAGUUUGAUGUGGACGUCGUUGACCAGAUGACACGCAAAUAUAGUGUGAAAGCAGGGAGUUUUCGUGGCCCCUUUAAGUUUUUUUUCAAUAUUUUAGAUUUAGCAGCAAUAAACGAGUGGAUAUUAUGUAAAGAGUGCAACAGAUCGAAAAUAUACAGAAAGGAAUUCAUAUUUUGUUUAGCCGAGGAAUUAGCUGGAGAAAACAAGGAGAACAUUUGCCAAAGAUCAGAAACGUCAACGUCAGAAAUGCGAAAAAGUUGCUAAGUGGGUUAUUGCAAAAAAAUAGAGGUAAUAAUUAUUCUAUAUAUUGCAAAAGAUGCGGAAAAUGCACAAACAACAUUCAGUAUAUUUGCAAAAAAUGUGCUCAAUAGAUAUGAUUACCCUGUACCGUUAAUGUUAUUGUUAUUUUUUUUGUGAUAAUUUAAAAAAAAGACUUUAUUUAUUAAUAAUUUAUUUAAAUGUGAAGCCAAAUAUUAUUCCUUUCAAACUUAAUUUGAAUAAAUCGAUUUUUUUAAAGAAAAAUGCCUAUUUUCGUUUACCCGUCAAUUUGACGGGUCCCGUAAACCUAGUGUUAAUGGACAGAGAUUUAUUGCAUAAUUACCACUCAAAGGCGCGUCUAGUGUAUUUCUUCAUAGAGAUUUAUGUUGUUCUUUAACGCAGCAACAAAUUGCCGCGACGGUGACGGUGGCGUAAAUAGAUCGCCAGCAUAGCGCCUUCUUCAAGUAACAACUGUAAUAAUCAAAAUAAAUAAUAAUAUGCCUAACACGGCAGUCAUUCACAAUUUACCAAAAUUCUACAUAUGACAGGAGUACUCCCUUUGUUGGCGUACCAUUCAUGAUAAGCGGUGACUAUAAUCCAAUAGCCCCUAUUGGGGAUACAUAGUCAUUAAUCGGAGACAUAAUUGUCUUCAACAAGCCAUUCAUUACUUAUCUAUAGAUAUUAUAUGAACAACAGAGCUUGCUUGUUGGAGCAAAAUAUAAGAAAAAGAAAUCUGGACUUCUCAACUUCGCUGGUUGUAAAAGUAUUAAAAACUAUUAACAAGCUGUAUCUUCCAAUCAUGAAAAUCGUGCUUAGACUUCUAUCAAAACAAAAUUUAUUCACAAUAUUUCAGUAUAGUAUUUUCAUUCGAAACGAUUAUGGAAUUGUAGAAAGGUUGUCAAAAUAAAAAUGGAUAAUGUUAUCGGCUGAAAUUUAUUAAUAUAUAAGUAUUAAGAAAUUUAAUUUGGAUAUAAGAAAUGAAGGACGAUCAAUUGAAAAUUAUCUACAGGAUGUUGCCUGCAAGAUAGGUGAGGAAAUAAUAAAAUUGCUUAAAAGAUUAAACUUAAGAGAUUGCUACAUGGUAGGAAAUUUUAAGAAUGCAAGACCGAAAAGUGGAUAUAGCUUCUGACAUAUGAAAAUGGAGAAGGAUCAAUGCCAAGAAGUGUGCGGAAGAAUCAAAAGCAAUAAAAAAGAUAUAGAUGAAACGCAUGCAACAUUACAUAAUAUACUGAGAUGUCAAAAUUGUAACAAAGCUGAUGUGAUAGACUGGUUAAAAUUUGAUAAGAAAUAUAAUUAGUGGGACAGAAGCGUAUGCUAGUGAAAUUUUUCAAAAUGUUAUAUUCAAAACAGUCACGGUUUGGUUCAGCAUAAAAACGAACUGAAAAUUUUUCUAAACCUGCCAAAAAAUAGAUAUAAUGCUUAUUUCCGAAACUCAUUUUACGGACAAAAAUUACUUUAAAGUCAACGAUUACAAUAUUUAUCACAUUCAACACUCCUGCGGCAGAGCACAUGGCGGAUCAGGUACAGCCUACCAAAAGAGGAUGUUGAUCAGUUUUUGGAAAUCCUGGGUCACAGGUUUAUAACAGGAGGCGACUUUAAUGCUAAACACACUCACUUGGCUAGUAGUAACAUCACUCCAAAAGGUAGAUCAUUAUACAAAAGUAUUUUGUCGAGUAAAUUAAAUUGCAUUAGUACAGGUGAGCUCACGUACUGGUCUACGGACACAAACAAAUUAUCCGACUUACUGGACUUCUUCAUAACCAAAAAUGUUUCUCCGAGGUAUAUUCAAGUGAAUUCUUCUCUAGAAUUGUCCUCAGAUCACUUACCAGUUAUUGCAAUAGUCAGCUCUAUGAUUAUUGAAAAUCAAUUUGCUAUUUCAAUCUAUAACAAACUAAGUAAUUGGUCUCACUUUAAGGAAUCCUUCAACAUUUCAACAUCAACACUAGUACCAUUAAAAACGAAAGAAAAUAUAAAUGCAGCAGUUGAAUAUCUGACAAACGACGUAAUAAAUGUGGCUCACUUCUCUAUCGCUAAGCUGGAGUAUAUCAGUUCGCUGUGGAGUGCCGAAGCGUGCAGACGUGUCUCUAGUGCCCAGUGUAAUCUGAAAACAACACGUGUCGCCCAACCGUCGAAAGUGAACACAGCCAAGUGUUUCCUACCCUUUACGGAGAAGAAAAUCCCACGCACCUAACCCCAACCCGAAUACUAGCCUCAUAGCCUCACGACUAGUUAUUCACUUUGAAUUAACUAGCUCGAUGAUGGCCCAGCAAUCGCGACCAAGCUCUCCGGAGCAGACUCGCAACUACCCCGCGCUACCUCCCCCGUGGCAGAAGUGUAGCAGAACUCUCCACACCAACGACGCUAAUAUUACAAAGAAACGGAAAAUAGAAACAUCAAAACCAGACACGAUCGACACCCGGAACGAACAAUCAACGAUACAAAUAAACACCCACAACAAGUUCGCCGUACUGCAAUCCACUAACGACGCCAUGGAAAUCGCAGACCCGCCGCCAAACCAACAAUCACAGAGAAUCCCCCCUCCCCCACCUUUGUGGAUGACGUCAUCGACAUACAAACAAUGAUCAAGUCCUUAGAGAGAGAUAUCUCCAAGGACGACUACAACCUGAAGAUCAACAACAACAAAGUAAAAAUUCUGCCGACAACCCCCGACGCAUACAGAAAAAUCACCAAACUGCUUAAGACAUUGAACGCCAACUUUCACACGUACCAACUUAAACAAGAAAGACCUUUCCGAGUGGUCCUACGCAACAUCCACCACUCAGCAGACAUAGACGAACUCAAAUACGAACUCUCAAAACUCGGCCACGAAGUCAUCAACGUAAGUAAUAUAAGGCAUAGAGUCUCGAAAGACCCGUUAUCCUUAUUUUUCAUAGGCAUAAAACAAAAGCCUAACAAUAAGGAAAUCUGCAAUAUCAGUCGCCUAAUGAAAUCAAUAGUAAAAUUCGAACCACCGCUUGUGAAAAAAGAAAUAGUGCAAUGCAAAAGGUGCCAAAGGUACGGUCAUACGCAAAAAUACUGCAACCAUACUUUCCGCUGCGUUAAAUGUGCAGGAACUCACUCCACUGACCAGUGCGCUAAAUCACCGGAAACCCCAGCGAAAUGCAUCCACUGUCAAGGUGACCAUCCUGCCAACUAUAAAGGCUGCUCAGCCUAUAAAACUCUAUACACAAACAGGUACCCUGAACUCAGAGCAAAAGAGGUAACCAACCAAACACCCAGCCCGCCGAAAUUCACGACUACCCCAAUCCCCUCAACCAACCAAACACCCAGUCCUACCAAAUUCAUCACCACCUCAACCUCCUAUGCCCAAGCAGUACAAGGCAUCCAAAAUAACCCGAAUAGCCAAAGGGAUCUUUCCCAAAAUAGUGUCCUCAACCCACCUAACACAGACAACUUCUCUAGGCUUUGAAAGCUAAUAGAGAAACAAUCAGAGCAAAUAAAUAAUUUGCUAUCGCUACUAACACUCAUCAUGGAUAAAUUAAUACGCCCCGACGCAAAAUAAAACCAAGGCGCAUAGCUCUCUGGAACGCCAACGGUCUAGCGCAACACAAACUUGAACUAGAACUCUUCCUAAAACACCAGCAAAUCGACGUAAUGCUCGUAUCGGAAACCCACUUCGCCGACAAAAACUACCUGAAAAUAAA